RNAcentral lists this long non-coding RNA (1452 nucleotides) under Homo sapiens (human). RNAcentral's name for it is "HSALNT0298357". Lineage: Eukaryota; Metazoa; Chordata; Mammalia; Primates; Hominidae. The record is from RNAcentral.
UUCUCUUUUCACACUCACUAUAAUACAGUGAAUGCUCACAGUAAUCAGCUCUCUUUCAUAUGGGUUCUGCCUUUCACUGAACAUGAUUUCCAGUUGAUCAUAGAACAGGCACUGAACAGAAAUAAAAACUGGAGUGUGCAGGAUCAGUGGUUGGCAUCCAGGGGCAGGUUUGGUUCAUUAUCACGGGGACAACCUCAGAGACUUUGGCAUUCUGGGUGAAGGAAGAAAGAAGAGAAUAUACAUGGAAACCCAGGGAUUGUGGCAAAGAUGGAUGAUGGGAUGUCACUUCACUGAUUAAGUGCCAAAAGGUUGCAAUCUCCUCUUGCUAACAGACUCUCUGCCUUGCUGGCUUUGAUGAUGCAAUUUGCCAUGUUGGAGCUGCCUAUGUGGCAUGAAACUGAAGCAGGCCUCCAGCCAACAGCCAGCAAGAAACUGAGACCCUCAGUCCAACAGUCCACAGGGAUCUCAAUCUUGCCAACCACCAUGUGAGCCUGGAAAUAGAUCCUUGCCCAGUUGAACCUUAAGAUCACUACAUCGCAGCUGACACCUUGACUGCAAGUCUGUAAGAGACCCUGAAGUGCAGGAACUUGCUAAGCCUGCCCAGACUCUUGACCCACGGAAACUGUGAGACAAUACAUGUGGGUUGUUUUAAGUUUGGGGGGUCUCGCUCUGUUACCCAGACUGGAGUGCAGUGGCGCGAUCACAGCUCACUGCAACCUCAACCUCACGAGCUCAAGCAAUCCUUCCAUCUCAGCGUCCUGAGUAGCUGGGACUACAGGUACACACCACCAUGUCCAGGUCUUUUGGACCCAUGCUUCAAGGGUCAAGUGUUAACUUUUCAGAAACAACCUUUAAUGAGUCAGGAUAAAAACCAUCUGGUUCAGGGAUUCUUCUUUCAAAUGGAGGAAAUUCAGAAGAGACGAGAAAUUUCCCACCAUUAUAAGAAUUCCACUGGAGGCAUACUGAAGCAGCUCAGAAAAUCAAUGUAUCCGCUCCUAUCUUUCAUUCCUUUUGUCUUCCUGCCCAUCCAUGAAAGGAAGUGAAAAAGAAAUGUUGCAAAGAAGAAUAGAGAGACGAUAAGGUUUUCGUUCUACAGGCUGAAUGUGCAAAAUGUAAGCUCUCAAAUGAGAUUAAAAAAAAAUGCAGCCUUGCUUAUAAAAGGCGAAUGGGUCCUGGACAAUGCACUACAGACGCGGGUGCCUACAGGAUGUCUUGAGGCAGGUGGGUGGAAGUGUGAGGAAGCCACCUGGAAGAGGGAGGACAGGGCCCAAAUCAGACACAGCUCUCCAUCCUCCCUAAACAGGCUCGCCUAAGUGACACUUCCUUGUGUCCCAGGAAGUGACGAUCAGCCAGUGUAGAUGUUGUGACUCGCGGGUCUCACCCACUCCGAGGGUGCUGCAGGGCGCCCAGAGCGAGACGUCUUCCGCCGGCCCCAUUCCCGAAGAGGCCGCG